Molecule: non-coding RNA, 6755 nt
Organism: Chiloscyllium plagiosum (whitespotted bambooshark)
Lineage: Eukaryota; Metazoa; Chordata; Chondrichthyes; Orectolobiformes; Hemiscylliidae
Source: RefSeq, a predicted model, not a curated record
UUCAGCAUGGACGAGUUGGACCAAAUAGUCUGUUUCCAUGCUGUACGUUUCUAUUACUGUUGAUCUGUAAAUAGCUUACCAGAGCUCACUGCCAAUGUUUAUGUGACAAUAAUGCCAAUUCAACUCAACUAAAUUAAUUCAAUUCACACCUAACAGUUACCAUGCCUAUAGAAUAUCAUCACUACAUUGGGAAUGGGAUCUUAAAAUGCAAGAAGUAUUUAAAAAAAAGAAACUUUCAGUAAUUUUAAACUACUAUAAACCAUGGAAAUGUUUAAAAGAUUUAAAAAUACUCACAAACAGUAUUUGUUGUGUUAUUGCUAUUUUAAUUAAAUACAACUAGUUUAAACGAAGACAGUUACAUUUUAGAUUUGGGUGCAGAAACAACGAUCUUCACCGGUGUACCAACAUUUUUUUUGUCUUUGGUUGAUAAAGUAGGUCUAAAGCGUUACAGACGAACACAGUUUUAAGAAGCUAUUAACUAACUUGUAACGCUUAGCAGCCAAGCGCUGGCAAAAAACUACCAACUGACAGGAACGUGCAAGACUUAAGUUGUUUUGAGGUUGAGGCGUUCUGUUUUUUUCUCAACUUUCAAAAGCACGUAAAUAUUCCGAACGUGUGGAAAUAACGUUGCGGAGAUAUCUGGGGGCAAACAAGUUAAUGGGGAAACCCUACUGUAAUAUAUCUAUCACUUGAUGAGGUGGAGCUAAUGAAGAUAUUGUUUGGGUUGAAGAGGCAAUAUCGUCAGAGAGCAAUGCAGAGUUGGGACGGGGAGGGAAGUUUUCAUCCUGCAGGGAGUUGGUGAGUUUUUAAAAACUUUAUUUUUUCAAAAAAAGCUUCCACAUGAUUUCAUCUCGCUUCAGGUUUGUAUUUGUGUUUUGGGAGAGCGGUGGGAAUGGGGCUCGGUUAUACAUUUUUUUCACUGAUGAGUGGCUCCUAACAAAAGUGUCUGCGGCUGUUUUUUUGCAGAUCUCACCCCCCACCGCCAAACCCCACUGUUAAGUGUGAAGCCGGGCGAUGGGUUCCCCGGAGGGUGCCGAACUCUCGGUGUGGGUAUGCCAGGAGGAGAAGGUGGUGUGCGGCCUGACCAAGAGGACCAGCUGCGCCCAGGUGGUGAGAGCGCUGCUGCGGGAUCACCUCGCCCACGCCGGGGACACCAGGCUGCUGCACGCCCCGCCCAGGGAUUACUGCCUGGCCGAGAAGUGGAGGGGCUUCGAGAGGCUGCUGCCGCCCGCCACCAAGCUGCUCAGGCUCUGGCUGGCCUGGGGCCCGGAGCGGCGCAACGUGCGCUUCGUCCUGGUCAAGUGGGACGCCCGGCUGCCGCUGCCGGGCCUCCGCAGCGCCGAGGCCAAGGUGGUGCCCAGCAGCAACGGCGGCGGCGGCGGCGGGGGUCAGCCGGCAGAGAGACGCCCGGCCGCCCGCUCCGUGCGGGACCUGCCGCGGGACAAGCAGAGGAGGAUGGUGAGGAAGGCCUUCAGGAAGCUGGCCAAGAUGAAGAGGCUGAGGCAGGGCCGGGAGCGCAUGGAGACCCUGGCGCACCUGAUCGUCUCGCAGGACCACACCAUCCGCCAGCAGCUGAGCCGGCUGCGGGAGCUGGACGGCGACAUCGAGCGGUUCGAGGGCCGCCUGCACUCGGAGCGGGUGCAGAGCGACGGCCAGAACUACGUGCAGGAGACCUACCUGGUGGAGGGCGGGCAGCUCCAGGAGUACAUCGAGAGGAGCGAGGCGGUUGGCCAGCUCGAGGAGGAGCUCGAGCGACGUCGCGACACCCUCCAGAGGUUGAGCGAGGAGCUCGAGCUCGAGCAGCUGUGGCACGCCGACAGCGGCCUCGAGCGGCCGGAGGAGGACGGCGGCGGCGGCGACGACGACGACCUCAGGCUGCAGGGCGAGUUGGAGAGGAGCGCGUGGCGCGCGCAGCAGCUCGGUCGGAGUCUCGCGGACGUGCAGCAGAGCCUGCAGCAGCAAGAAGCUGAGCUGCGCGAGAAGGCGGAGGAAUACGAGCGCCUCGCCCGGCAGCUGGAGCGCCUGAGCCUCGACGAGGAGGCGGCGGCGGUUGUGGCGGAGGACAGCGGCGGUGAAGCGCCCGGGCUGUGCCAGGGCUCGGCCGAGGGACUCGUCAAAUGUCCGCCUGAGAGCGGCUUCGCCUCUUCGGAGGUGAACGACACCGACUCGGACACGGGGAUCAGCUCCACCCACAGCCAGGACUCCGAACCGCCCUGUGUCGGAGUGUUUCCCACCCCGCAAAACUAUCUCUGAAUUGUCCUAUGGUUAGAUUCUGUUACCUCAUGAAUGCAUCAGGAGGGACAGUAAUACUCCUGGGACACGACGCGUGAAAGCUCCUGCAUAUCUUUUAGAUAUUAGGUGCGUCUUUUCAGAAGAAAUGCCGAGAGUAUGUGACUUAAAACUAAACGCAGUCCAGAAAUUUGUACCGUUCUGUCUUGAUGGGAUGAGAGACUUGUCCAACUGCAAACCGUUAAUAGUAUUCUGAAACCAUCAUUGCUGGGAAAGUAUUCUGAAACCCUAUUGUUAACUUGGUAUAGUUAAUAAAGUACAAGCUUUCUGGUUCCACACCGCUGUCCCCAGAGAUUAGACAAGAUUCCUAAACACUGGACAAUUCCUGAACAAAUUCUUCCCACACUUUUACGUUCAAAACAAACACACAAAUCCACUGCUAGUAAAAGUUUCACAUGUAAAGAACACAAUUCAUUCUGUUAUCAAAGUAAUUAGCCAACACCAUUGCAGAGUUAGUGCAUAAAACCCUCUGCAGUUAUCCCCAUUCAGAUCGUCUGACAUACAACAGACUGAGAAGAUUGCUCUCUGAACGCACUUUUUCUUAAUUGUGUAAGAUGUCGCAAAUGCAAAUCAGGGAAUCUCUGAUCGUUUAGGAUGAUAAUAGUUUGAAGAUUAAUCUACAACCAGUACAUCGUUCCUAACUGCACAGUUUCUUCUGACACACUUUAUCUUGGGCAAACACAUUCAGAGGAUAAUGUAAGUUCACUAAUACAGUACAAAAUACUUUACAAUAUAUCAGCUAACUAAUAUUGCAGCCCUUUUCUGAUAUUAGUCAGAAUAAACUAAACGAUUUAUAUUAACAUGCUGACUUAUUUUUGGUUAGGCACCAAAAAUGAACAAUAAGUUGCUAAGACUCAUUUUGUUGAACAAUUUAACAAAUUGGCAUUUAUUAAAGUGGAACAAGGUAAUAGUUUUGCACUACAUGUAUGGACUGCAAUAUGUGUUGACAGGAUUUUCCAGAACAAAAUAAAAAUGAACAAUGGAUUUCUGUACAAACAUGGAUUUUAUGUCCACAUCAGAAAGUGAAAUAGUGUGUAGAACAUGUAAUAACACACCAAUAAUAAUUUUAUUGGUUUAAAUGGGGCUAUUUUCCAUUUUUAUAGUAUUAAUAUCCAAAGUAAAACUGCUGCAUCUUUACCACCUGAGCACAAAGGACCAAUUGAGCUGAGAGCAGAAAGCAAAAGUCAGCAAAACUGCAUGCUAGUAAGAAACUAGGACAGCUUUCCUCCAGUUGGAAUCAGUUUACCUCAAAUCCUUUCUUCCUGUAAAUAUCAUGCAAUUGUGUCAACCAGACGUUCCUUUGCUCAUACCACCCAGGUGAUGUUUAAUAGGCUAUUGAAGAUGAAACAAGAGAUUUCUGUCUUAAUUGAUUUCAGAAGUAAUUUUUAAAUAUGUCCCAAUUGUGACUAUAUCCAUUGUAUGCUAUUAUGGUCUUAGGUAUGUAGCAAUUUGUAGGCUCAAGUAGUUUCAUUCCUUACGAAUACCUAUCUUCACAGUACCUUUUCCUGGAUGAGCUGCAACCAACAUUAAAGAGUCCCACCAGUCUUUCAAGAAUGCAGAGGAGCAGCCACACAAUGAACUCAAGUACUCUCCUGGACAUCUAACCAGUUUUCAGUGUUUUUGGGCUCCAGUCAGCAAGGUUGUCUGAGGUGGAGUAUAAACCCAAGACUGUGACUGAUAGACAACAACACUGCCACUGCAGCAGUGAAUCUGGAUGAUAGUGUUGCAAGUGAAGUCAGCAUUUUAUUUGGAGAUCAUGUUCUAGUCUCCACUGGCCAGGGUUGAAUUGAAUAGCAGUCAAAUCUUUCAGUUUUACUUUGGAACCAUGCUUCUAUUAGUCAAAGACUGAAUUCUCCAAACUAUGCUGUCUGACCUACUGAGGUUUUCCAGCAAUUUCUGAUUUUGUUUCUGUUUACCAGCAUCUACUGAACUUUUGGUCUUUUAUUCCACAUUUUUAUUGGCAAAAUUCUACAUCGACGAUGCCAAUCAUGCUGUAUUUUUGAGUCUCACCACGAAAGCACUGUUUCACUAGUUUCUCCAUGUUUAACAUGUUCUGCAUUGCUUGUUCUCUAACACAUUGAUUGGGUUACGCUGUUUUUUUUAUUAGCUCCACUUUAAAUAGCUGCUUUUUUUACAACAGCUAUUUUUGACUGCACAUUAAAUUUUAUUCUUUAUCUCAAGUUUAAUACCCAUGUUAUUGUAAUUUAACAGGUGUUCUAAGAUGUGUCUUCACUUUUAUUUGGCAAGUUCAUAAGAAUACAACUUUUCAAUACUGUACAAAUUUUGACGCUCCAAAAUUUCAUAAUAUAUUAAGUGCUGUGUUUCAUAUGUAUGUUCUCUGUGUUACAUUUUCUUCCUGUAAUGCUCUUCUCAUUGCAUUUUCCUUGUUGCAUUUUAUACGUCUGUGAAAAAAAGUAAAUGUAUCCUGUCACAUUAAAUUAGUCACCGAGGGAUCAUGUAUCCUGUGCAACAUAGCAUAGUACUCAUUGUUAUAAAACAUCUUCCAGGUUAACAUAAGCAAUUUAUCAAGGAUCAGAACCAUGUUUGGCCUUGCAUCAGCUAGUUUAAUAAAUGUGUGACUUUGUAGACCAAAGUUUUUCCUAAUUAUAUUAACUUACCACAUAAUGAUAAAUAUUUUACAUCCCAACUUGAUUAUUUUUCUGUGUCACUUAAUUAUGGUUUCUGUCAGUAGUAAAUAAUUAUUUUAAUACUCAAUUGAAGAAUGCAGUCACCACUGAGAAGCAAAGAUGAUGCAUAUCUUAAACAAACUUUCUAUAUGGAUAGAUCAUUAAAAAUGCAUAAGAGCAUUUUCUGUUGUGUCUGCUUCAGCAAGAUUAAAGGUUUUGUUUUUAAUAAAUAAUCAGUUUAGCAAUGAAUAUAGGUGUGACUGUGUUUGUGACAGCGUUCCAGCAUCUGAGUCAAAAGAUGAGAGUUCUUAGUUGCACUUGAAACUGCACAUACAGAUGACUUAUGAAGACUUUAUCCAGUAAGAGACAUUGUAUCUUGGUACAUGUAACAAUAAUAAUAAUUAAUAAUAAGAAGAAGACCAACAAAUGUGGAACAUAGCCCUGCCUCUGAGUCAGAAGCUCUGAGUUCGAUCCCAUUCCAGGAAUUGAUAUCCAAGGAUGAUUCUGAACGUCUGAUUAUCAACCAGCAAAUCCUUGCAGCGGAUACUAACUGCAUCUGAUUAAAACAGGAGAGCUAGUUAACGAUGUGAUGAUUGGUUAGACUGAUGCUGAUGAUGUAUUAUCCUUUAACAAAGCACUGAAUUUAUGUUAUGAUCUCAAUAGAGACCAGUUUUUUUUUUAAAGUAGACAAAAGGUGAGAUCCAAGGUGGAUAUUAAGAGAAGGAAGCUACAAAACUCCAUGUUUUUGAACAAACAAGGGUUUACAAUGAUAGUACAGUAAUGCAGUGUACUAUACAUGUAUAUGUACAACUUAUUUCUUGCAUCCAGAAUUAAUAUUAUCCAGUAUGAAUAAUUUACCAUGACUAAACACCCUGAUGAUAAAGUCACUAUCGUCCUACCUGAUCAUAGGGCUGCUGUCUCAUUAGAGAGAGAUAACUGAUGAUUGUUUAACUCGAGGGUCACAAUUCCUAAGACAAGAGGAAAGGUUGAGAGCCUACAUCAAACAGCAAAUGCUAGCACAUGGAUCACGCAGAUCAGUGCAACAUAGAGAUUCUGUCUCUGUCUCUUCUCUAAUUCACUAUGACUCCAAACUGCUUUACCAUCACUGUUGAACUAUCCUCAGUGUCCAAUUGAAAUCUUGGCAAUAUGCCCUGCCCCUGUCGCUGGGUGGAAUUGAAUGUUGCCUCCUAAUUAUUCUUGGAACUCCAUAGAUGUUACAUUCUGUCAGAAUGCUGGAAAUAGAUUUCCUCAUUAGCUGUAUUGAAAUGGCUUGACUAGAGUUAUGACUUAUUCUGGAGUCUUGAGUCCUAUUAGUUCAAUGUUGGCAGGACCCAUAGCUUUUGAGAUAUAUGGAGCGUUCAGCAACUUCAUGAUGUCACGUGCAGUGAAUCCAACUGAUUGAAGACUGUCAUUUGUGAUGCUGGGGAUUUCAGGAGUAGGCUGAUGUAGAUCAUCCACUCAGCACUUCUGUCUGAAUAUGCAUUCAAAUUAUUCAGCCUUAUUGGAAUAUUUCAAUUGGAGCGGUAAGGUACAAGGACGUGUUAUUGCAAAUAAGUGUGAUGAUACUAUGCCUUUAAGAGGUGUAUUUUGUCCUUUAUUUUAAGACAUGUUUUGAGCCAUAGGUGAAGAGCUAUCUAUUCAAUGCCAAUAAAGUAAACAGCUUCUGAGGCCUUGGGUUUUUUUUCAAAGUUGAAAUAGUAGAAGUAGCAUGAAUGGGUGGAAUUAGAAUUCCACUGAACCAAGAUUUUAGUUUAGCUUUCAGUGUUGGGGUUUGGAAGUUGGCUGUGGAAGCUGUCUCUUUCCCCCUGCUACAACUAAAAGGCUCGGUUCUCUCUCUCU